GGGUGAAUAGCUCAGCUGGGAGAGCACCUGCCUUACAAGCAGGGGGUCACAGGUUCGAGCCCUGUUUCGCCCACCA
This 76-nucleotide transfer RNA is filed under the name Bacillota bacterium. Its description in RNAcentral is "tRNA-Val". It matches the Rfam family "tRNA". From Rfam's summary of the family: Transfer RNA (tRNA) molecules are approximately 80 nucleotides in length. Their secondary structure includes four short double-helical elements and three loops (D, anti-codon, and T loops). Further hydrogen bonds mediate the characteristic L-shaped molecular structure. tRNAs have two regions of fundamental functional importance: the anti-codon, which is responsible for specific mRNA codon recognition, and the 3' end, to which the tRNAs corresponding amino acid is attached (by aminoacyl-tRNA synthetases). tRNAs cope with the degeneracy of the genetic code in two manners: having more than one tRNA (with a specific anti-codon) for a particular amino acid; and 'wobble' base-pairing, i.e. permitting non-standard base-pairing at the 3rd anti-codon position. RNAcentral also lists the same sequence under 1 other name. Lineage: Bacteria; Bacillati; Bacillota. The record is from RNAcentral.